RNAcentral lists this ribosomal RNA (478 nucleotides) under uncultured bacterium. RNAcentral describes it as "partial 16S ribosomal RNA". It matches the Rfam family "Bacterial small subunit ribosomal RNA", at positions 28 to 523 of the family's 1533-position model. The record is from RNAcentral.
GACGAACGCUGGCGGCGUGCUUAACACAUGUAAGUCGAACGGUAAGGCCCUUCGGGGUACACGAGUGGCGAACGGGUGAGUAACACGUGGGUGAUCUGCCCUGCACUUCGGGAUAAGCCUGGGAAACUGGGUCUAAUACCGGAUAGGACCACUGCCUGCAUGGGUGGUGGUGGAGAGCUUUUGCGGUGUGGGAUGGGCCCGCGGCCUAUCAGCUUGUUGGUGGGGUGAUGGCCUACCAAGGCGACGACGGGUAGCCGGCCUGAGAGGGUGACCGGCCACACUGGGACUGAGAUACGGCCCAGACUCCUACGGGAGGCAGCAGUGGGGAAUAUUGCACAAUGGGCGCAAUCCUGAUGCAGCGACGCCGCGUGAGGGAUGACGGCCUUCGGGUUGUAAACCUCUUUCAGCACAGACGAAGCGCAAGUGACGGUAGGUGCAGAAGAAGGACCGGCCAACUACGUGCCAGCCGCCGCGGUAA